GGGGUCAUAGUGUAACCAGGCUAUCAUCUGGGACUCCAGUUGUCUUUGAAGAAAUGCGCGCUCUGAGGUUUAGUACCCAAUGAUGAUCAAUUGGAGUACUGAGACAAGAGAAAUCCUAGGAUCUGGGUUCAAAUCCCGGUGACCCCA
RNAcentral lists this transfer RNA (147 nucleotides) under Methanobacterium oryzae. RNAcentral's name for it is "tRNA-Trp". It matches the Rfam family "tRNA". From Rfam's summary of the family: Transfer RNA (tRNA) molecules are approximately 80 nucleotides in length. Their secondary structure includes four short double-helical elements and three loops (D, anti-codon, and T loops). RNAcentral also lists the same sequence under 1 other name. Lineage: Archaea; Methanobacteriati; Methanobacteriota; Methanobacteria; Methanobacteriales; Methanobacteriaceae. The record is from RNAcentral.